RNAcentral lists this transfer RNA (73 nucleotides) under Camelus bactrianus (Bactrian camel). It matches the Rfam family "tRNA". Rfam says of the family: Transfer RNA (tRNA) molecules are approximately 80 nucleotides in length. The record is from Rfam by way of RNAcentral. Lineage: Eukaryota; Metazoa; Chordata; Mammalia; Artiodactyla; Camelidae. RNAcentral also lists the same sequence under 2 other names.
GAGGGUGUAGCUCAAGUGGGAGAGCACAUGCUUAGCAUGCAGGAGGUUCUUGGUUAAAUCCCCAGCACCUCCU